Molecule: long non-coding RNA, 8438 nt
Organism: Eriocheir sinensis (Chinese mitten crab)
Lineage: Eukaryota; Metazoa; Arthropoda; Malacostraca; Decapoda; Varunidae
Exons: 3
Source: RefSeq, a predicted model, not a curated record
UAAUCACUUUAUUCCAAAAAUAGAGGUUAAGCACUUUUCCAGCAGCUCGCACGCCCUCAGAUCCACAGAGUUCGGAUCACGUCACAGGAGCCAACACACUCACACAGACACACACAGACCAAGGCAUCACUAUUACCAUGUUCUCUAUGCCAUGAAAGAAUAUCAUUAGUUAAGGAUAUUUUAGGUUAUCAGGGAGUUAAAGUUAAAAGCUUUUACCCACUGGAAGAUUUCAAUUAGUUAUGGAUAUUUCUGGUACUCAAUAGAAAAACAUUAUUAAUCUGGUUAUCAAGGAGUUAAUAAUUGGUGAUCUUUAACCCAGUAGCUGCGGGGAUCAUGUUUCUUAAUGGUCUGUCUAAGUGAGAAAAAUGAGAAAAAAUCAUUACUCACACGAACCAUUUCAUAAUAUAUAUCAAAGCAUUUGUGAUCAGUUUAUGCAUCAUCUAUUUUUGGGGGUUUAUAUCAUGGUACAAAUUUGGCCCUUUGCUGCUACAUGGUAAAGCCACAAAUUUGGCCCGUCACUGCUACACGGUAAAGCCACAAAUUUGGCCCGUCACUGCUACACAGUAAAGCCACAAAUUUGGCCUGUCACUGCUACAUGGUAAAGCCACAAAUUUGGCCCGUCGCUGCUACACGGUUUAAGUUAGCCAUUGGAAGAUUUUUAAGGAUAUUUCUGGUAGUCAAUAAAAAAUCAUUAUCAACAUCAAUACCUGGUACCCAUUCACUGCUAGGUGGACAGGGGCGUAGGGUAUCGGAGAAGUCACCCAAAUUUUUCCACUCCGCCCGGGAAUCGAACCCGGGGCAAUGAAAUUUAGAUGACAAAAUACAAGAGCUAACUGAGCCUUGAAAAACGUUCUUAACAUCAUCUGCUUUGAACAUUCACAAGCUGGAUGGAGGAGACUCACAGAGAGGGGUUAUGGUGCACCAGCGUUACCAAAUUAUCGCACGUUGUAUUUUCUGGUUUCUGAGUCACAGCUAUCGCAAACAAACACCGAUAAGUUACGCUUUUAACGAUAACUUUAACUGGAAUCUCGUUAUCUAUGUGGGUAGGAGAGUUUUGGGCCCUGGAACUUAUAAAUGUGAUGUUUUGAGUACGAUAAUAUGGUAACACUUAUAAAAUACAUACAGAUACACUACCGGGUAAUUCAAGACCAUAAACUUAACCCGGUAGCAGCGAUGAGCCAAAUUUGCGGCUUUACCAUGUACCAGCGACAGGCCAAAUUUUUGCCAUGAUAAAGCCUAACCCACCAAAAAUAGAUGAUGCAUAAACUCAUCACAAAUGCGUUGAUAUAUAUAUUAUGAAGUGGUGUGCGAGAGCGGUGAUUUUUUCUCAUUAAUUCGCUUAGAGGGGCCUUUAAGAAACAUGAUCCACGCAGCUACCGGGUUAACUAGAAUCUCGUUAUCUGUGUGGGUGGAAGAGUUUUGGGCCCUGGAACUUAUAAAUGCGAUGUUUUGAGUACGAUAAUAUGGUAACACUUAUAAAAUACAUACAGAUACACUACCGGGUAAUUCAAGACCAUAAACUUAACCCGGUAGCAGCGAUGAGCCAAAUUUGCGGCUUUACCGUGUACCAGCGACAGGCCAAAUUUUUGCCAUGAUAAAGCCUAACCCACCAAAAACAGAUGCAUAAACUAAUCAUAAAUUCGUUGAUAUAUACUAUGAGAUGGUUUGCGUGAGUGAUGAUAUUUUCCCAUUUUACUCGCUAAGAGGGACCUUUAAGAAACAUGAUCCACGGAGCUACUGGGUUAAUACAAUCCCAUCACGGCACCCAAAACACAAACUGGUGACUUGGUGUGUGUGUGUGUGUGCGCUGCCCGGCUCUGGAUAACUCACAGCUUCAUCCACACAGCUGGUCAUUGUAUAGUGUAUGGAUUGCACUGUUAAGACACUUGUAUACCACUAAAUGAUACAAAACACAUGUAUCAUUUUAUACUUAAAUUUCAAAGUACAAAUACACAGCCUGAAUAAGUGAAUUUUCUCAGCUUGGUUACAAAUCUAGCCCAGUUGCUUGCCUUCCCUUGUGGGCUGGUCGAUAAUUGGGUACCUGGGGACACCUAGGGAAGGUAAACUGUGGUGUCCUGUGUCUCAAGGUAAUGGGAACCUGGAGAAGGAAAACUAUGGUGCCCUGUGUCUCAAGGUAAUGGGUUCUCGUCCCCCGCCCUGUGUCUCAAGGUAAUGGGUUCUUGCCCCCAAAGGACCCUGGAGAAGGUAAACUGUGGUGUGCUGUGUCUCAAGGUAAUGGGUUCUCGUCCCCCACAGGAUCCUGGAGAAGGUAAACUGUGGUGUGCUGUGUCUCAAGGUAAUGGGUUCUCGUCCACCACAGGAUCCUGGAGAAGGUAAACUGUGGUGUGCUGUGUCUCAAGGUAAUGGGUUCUCGUCCCCCACAGGAUCCUGGAGAAGGUAAACUGUGGUGUGCUGUGUCUCAAGGUAAUGGGUUCUUGCCCCCCACAGGAUCCUGGAGAAGGUAAACUGUGGUGUGCUGUGUCUCAAGGUAAUGGGUUCUUGGCCUCACAGGAUCCUGGAGAAGGUAAACUGUGGUGUGCUGUGUCUCAAGGUAAUGGGUUCUUGGCCCCACAGGAUCCUGGAGAAGGUAAACUGUGGUGUGCUGUGUCUCAAGGUAAUGGGUUCUUGGCCCCUACAGGAUCUUGGAGAAGGUAAACUGUGGUGUGCUGUGUCUCAAGGUAAUGGGUUCUUGCCUCCCAAAAGCUACAGGGGCAGAGAUGAACACCAGGGCCACACUCAGCUAGUAUAGUAUGUGCCCCAAACUUUGCCUAAUCCACAUGAAAACAGGGUGAAAAUACACAAUGAACUGACCCUCAAAAUUAGUACUCUUACAUAAAUUCAACUCCAUAAAUUCUAAAAAAGACGUAUAAUAUGAAGAAAGAGCAGAUCUAUAGUCUUCCAAAUAUGUUGAGGGCGGUCUGGUGUAGGCUCCCAUGGGUCCUUUCCUCCCUUCUACUCUGCCACACAGUCCGAACACUUAUCCCUACCUCUCAUAUGUAAGGUAAAGGUGACAUAUGAGAGGAAAAAAUAGGUGUUGGGACUGUGUGGCAGAGCAGAGGGGAGAAAUGGACCUGCGGGAGCCAACACCAAAAUGGACUUGUCAAUUUGGUUUCACUAAGGGUCGUUUUAUGAGACAUUUCGCCGCCCAAGAACACAUAUUUGACAAAGCUUUCAUAGGAGUUGUGGGCAUUUCCAGGGGUAGUUUUAUGACCCUGGUGGUAGUGUGACCUUUCUUCUGUACCAUGAACCUAGGAAACACAUAUUUGACAAAGCUUUCAUAGGAGUUGUGGGCAUUUCCAGAGGUAGUUUUAUGACCCUGGUGGUAGUUUCAUCCUUCCUCUGUACCCUGAGCAUAAAAAAACAAUCAUUAGAACCUGAUUGAUCCCCCCUUUGACCUUUAGAUAUAGCUGAUGUGAGAAGGCAAAGUGUCUUGUAAUACCAGCCGUUAACUCUUCCCUAGAAUUUUUGAGUAAUUAAUACAUAGUGUGUCACGGGGUACUGGGUCAAGGGCGGAGACAGAGAUGAGCACUGAGAACACAUACAUUUGGUACUGUACGAGCCUUUUACCUAACCAUUCAUCAUUUCACUGGAAUUUUUAAGUAAUUUAUACAUACUUAUAUACAUAAAUAAAACAAUGAAAUAUAUGAAAUACAGUAAAAGUUCACUAGUUCAUACCAUUUUUUUAUAUAUAUAAUUUUGACAACUCAGAUGUUGGACACCUGAUUUUCUUUGGAUUAUAAUUUCCUGCCUUGAAGAGUUCAGACUGAUGUUUUGGGGGAUGGGGUGCUGAUUUGUCAAUGGAGUAUCAGAUUCUCUCAACAGUGGAAUUCUGAUUAAGCCUCACUCUCUCAACUUAAGGGGCCAUUACACUGGGCAAACUUUCCGUGGAUCUUCAGUCAAACCACGAUUUUUGCUAGCGUGGUUCUCAUUUAUUUCUUGUUAUUGCAGCUGAUGAUGAUGGUGAGUAAUGCCGUCGUCCUUCAAGGAACUCUACCGUAGCUUUGGAAGAUCGUGGACAUGUCAGAAAACCAUGGAAAUAUGAGAACCACGCCAGCGGAAAUCGUGGUUUGACUGAAGAUCCACGGAAAAUUUGCCCAGUGUAACAGCCCCUUUAAACAGACCAUACAGGUAAGAAAAAUCCCUGAUAUAAUUUCCUGGAUAGUGAAACAUGAAAAAAAAUACCCAAGACUUGCACAAAAUUUCCUGAAGAUAUGAUUAACGAGUGAAGCAUUUGGUCAAUUCAACAGCAAUAAGAAUGACAAUAUUUCAGUGAAGAUAAUAAUAAUGUUGAUCAUACAAGAAGGAUAUCAACAGCGUCCCCAGCCCUCACCACUACAUCUUCAUACAGUUAGAACCAGGGGUGUGGAGUCGGAGAUAAAUUUUACGACUCCGACUCCGGGAAGUUUUUAAGGUGCGAAUCUGGCUCCGACUCCGGCCCCCAUGCCCCUCCCCCUCUAUUGCAAUUUAUUUAUUUAUUUUUUUUUUAUAGUUUUAAGAUGUGUUUCUCUCUCUCUCUCUCUUUCUCUGUAGUGCCGGUAGACUCCUUUGAGGUCCUUUUUCUUUCAUGUAUUUACAUCCAAAUUACGUGUACUCUUUAUAGACAACAUCCAGAUAAUGUAAAAGAAAAAAACUUCACAAUUACAUUACACGAUAAAUGAUUACGUUAAGGAGUCGGAGUCGGGGAUAGUUUUACCGACUCCGCCAACUCCGACUCCACACCCCUGGUUAAAACUCAUCCUCAGUCAGCCAUAUAUAAUAAGAUUGAUCCCGUAACAAUUCAUACGCAAACAAUGUGAAGAUAUACAACUGACCCUCACAAUUAGUACUCUUACAUACUUCAACUUCGUAAAUUCUAAGAUAAAUGUAUAAUCUGGAGAACAAGCAGAUCUACCUCUUCCUAAAACAUGAACCUUAGAUAUAUACAUUUGUUGUUAAUUAAAAGUAAUUUGUUUUAUAUUAACGAAACUAACACUUAACAGAUUAAAAUUAGCUACUGCUGCAACCUCGAUUACUUAGUUGUGUCUUAAGUUACUACAAAUAUCAUGCCUCUCAGAGAUUAGUUUGAUUUUUUGAGAAUUAUUACACCGAAAAAAAUAUAUAUAUAUAAUAAUAAUAAUAAUGAAACAAGUCUAGGAAUGCAUAUAAAAAGUCAUCUGUUCAUGCUGCCUGUGAGAAUCAGCACUUAACAUAACAUUCGUUGAGGAUUGAUUUACCGGAGAAAGGGAAUGAGAGAGUUGAUUUACUGAAUGACUGAAGAGAAAGGGAAUGAGAGAGUUGAUUUACUGAAUGACUGAAGAGAAAGGGAAUGAGAGAGUUGAUUUACUGAAUGACUGAAGAGAAAGGGAAUGAGAGAGUUGAUUUACUGAAUGACUGAAGAGAAGGGAAUGAGAGAGUUGAUUUACUGAAUGACUGAAGAGAAAGGGAAUGAGAAAGUUGAUUGACUGAAGAGAAAGGGAAUGAGGAAGUUGAUUUACUGAAGAGAAAGGGAAUGAGGAAGUUGAUUACUGAAGAGAAAGGGAAUGAGGAAGUUGAUUGAAGAGAAAGGGAAUGAGGAAGUUGAUUGACUGAAGAGAAAGGGAAUGAGGAAGUUGAUUACUGAAGAGAAAGGGAAUGAGGAAGUUGAUUACUGAAGAGAAAGGGAAUGAAGAAGUUGUUUACUGAAGAGAAAGGGAAUGAGGAAGUUGAUUGACUGAAGAGAAAGGGAAUGAAAAAGUUGAUUGACUGAAGAGAAAGGGAAUGAGGAAGUUGAUUGACUGAAGAGAAAGGGAAUGAGGAAGUUGAUUACUGAAGAGAAAGGGAAUGAGGAAGUUGAUUGACUGAAGAGAAAGGGAAUGAGGAAGUUGAUUUACUGAAGAGAAAGGGAAUGAGGAAGUUGAUUGACUGAAGAGAAAGGGAAUGAGGAAGUUGAUUACUGAAGAGAAAGGGAAUGAAAAAGUUGAUUUACUGAAGAGAAAGGGAAUGAGGAAGUUGAUAAAAAGUAGUCAAUGAUUGAUGUUUGCUUGUGAAAACUCUACAAUUCUUUUUCUUGAGAACAUUGGAGAAAAAAAGAAACAAUAUUAAUGAAAGCAGUCACAGGAUGAACAUAAAAAAAUAACUGGUUUGUUUACUCUGUCAAAUCUCGUUUUAUUAUUACAUUUAUUGAGAAUUCAUAUAUUGGACGGAAAUCGACGGAAGAGAUUCAUGGAAAAUGUCUCAGACUGCCGAUAAAAAACAAUUCAAUUUUUCGGCUCUUCUUAAGAUUACGAUUUGGGAUGUCUUAAGAUAACACGUUGUUCGCACACUGGACGGAGCGGGACGGAAUGGACUUGUGGGAGGAGGCCGUGGAAUGUGGACAAGAAAAUACAGGAGUUAACCGAGCCUUGAAAAAUGGUAAUGUUACAUAAUUUCAAUGCUCAAAGACUGGACGGAGAAGACUCACAGCAAAAGGUUAUGGUGCACACACUUAUAAAAUACAUACCAUAUAUAGGAGGCCGUGGAAUGUGGACAAGAAAAUACAGGAGUUAACCGAGCCUUGAAAAAUGGUAACGUUACGUAAUUUCAAUGCUCAAAGACUGGACGGAGAAGACUCACAGCAAAAGGCUAUGAUGCACACACUUAUAAAAUACAUACCAUAUAUACAUAAAUGAAUAAAACAUAAUAGAAAUAAAACAGAUUCUGCCUCGUGAUAAAAGUGUGACCUUACAGCAUUGUCGAGAUGAAUAAAAACAAGUCUGCCCUGGUAUAAAAGGGCCUUCGUACAACACACUCUCCCAACAUAAAAACAAUGGAGGGUGUGAUGGGUUUGUCCAACGGGUCUCCCUGGUGACAACUUAUUCCUUCACUUCACCAGGCAUUCCUUCCCUAAACAUUCACCACUGCAAUAAGUUAGUAGGAAUGGAAUCCAAGUUUGUCAGUAUGGUACAAAUGAGUGGAAUUACAGUAUGAGUCCUCUAUUUCAUCAGAGUUCCCCUUACUGUACCCAUAAAACCUUCCUUCUGUUAAGAGUAAAACUAACACUACUGUAAUAGGUUAGUAGGAAUGUAAUGCAGUCUUAAAUAUUACGUCUAUGGUCCUUGUAACAAACUGGAGCUCGUUCCGGCAACUGUCAAAAGCAGUUCUCACAAGGUCACAACACACUUUCCUGAAUCAUUAGUAGGAAUGUGUUAGCGGGAAUGUGAUGGGGUGUCUUAAAUAUUACUUCUAUGGUCCUUAUAACAAACUGGAGCUCGUUCCGGCAACUUUUAAAAGCAAUUCUCACAAGGUCACUUCUUUAGGCUAAGGAACAACACACUUUCCUGAAUCAUUAGUAGGAAUGUGUUAGUAGGAAUGUGAUGCAGUCUUAAAUAUUACUUCAAUGGUCCUUAUAACAAACUGGAGCUUGUGCUGGCAACUUUUAAAAGCAAUUCUCACAAGGUCACUUCUUUAGGCUAAGGAACAACACACUUUCCUGAUUCGCUUUCACACAAUGAGGCGAGAGAAAGGUCGUAACUAACUUCACUUUCUCAUAAAUAUACCAAAAGAGAUGCCACAGUAAUUAUUUGUAUAGAGUCCACGACAGGACAUCAAGGGAAAAAAAUGAUACCUCUCGAUGAGCAGACUUGGAUAUGAAAACUAAGACAGCGACGGUAGAGUAAGAAUAAGGAGCGGAGACAAAGAGUACGGAAGGUGAGCAAGUAGUGAAGUUAAUAUUGCUUUUGACAGUUGAAGGAAUGUGUUGUUUUGGUGACUCUGGGGCACAGGAAUACGGUUAGUCCGGUAAUACUAUACAAGGUUGGAAGUUGUUUGCUAGUGUGAUAUUUGUUGAUAGUGUUGUUGUUAUUGUUAUUGUAGUUGUUGAGUGUGAAGCAUAUCAGCUGUUUAUAAUGUGUUGAUGUCAUUGAUAUCAGCUGUUAGUGUAGAUGUUUUGUUUACGUAAUGUUGUUAAUGUAUAUAGUUUGUGCAGUGUAAUGAGGUUGAGAACAUCUUUUGAAGUGUUUAUGAUGUCUGAUAUUUGUGAGCAAUGUUAAUGUUAAAAAUGGUAACUGGUGUAGUGGUUGAGAAUAUAAUAGGGUAAUGUUAUGCUAUUGGUUAUUCUUCCGUAAUGUUAGUGUUAAAAAACGAUAAGUGUUUGUUUUGUGUUGGUAAUGUUUCCUGGAGGUGUGUGUACCAGUGUCUGACCUUACUUGUAUUGCUGCUGUUCUGUUUAUCUUAAUUCUACAACUACUAUUUUAUUACAUUACAGUCAUCCCUCAAAUAGUACGGUUUCCAAUAGUUCGGUUUUGGUUUUAUACGGAUUGUCACAGAAGACCUUUUAAGGAUUUUUAAAUUUCCUGCUUGUCGGGAAAUUUUAAAAUCCUAAAAAAAUCUUCCAUGAAAAUCCACAUAAAACCGAAACUGAACUAUUGGAAACCGUACUAUUUGAGGGAUGACUGUAUUUCUCUUUCAUUGCUUCUUCAUUUGGAUGGAUAACUGGACGGAUA